Molecule: ribosomal RNA, 1443 nt
Filed under: uncultured organism
Description: SSU rRNA
Rfam family: Bacterial small subunit ribosomal RNA
Source: RNAcentral
CUAUCUACAGGCUUAACACAUGCAAGUCGAGGGGCAGCAUGGUCUUAGCUUGCUAAGGCCGAUGGCGACCGGCGCACGGGUGAGUAACGCGUAUCCAACCUGCCUUACACUCUUGGACAGCCUUCUGAAAGGGAGAUUAAUACAAGAUGUUAUCAUGAGUAAGCAUUUUCGCAUGAUUAAAGGUUUACCGGUGUAAGAUGGGGAUGCGUUCCAUUAGAUAGUAGGCGGGGUAACGGCCCACCUAGUCUUCGAUGGAUAGGGGUUCUGAGAGGAAGGUCCCCCACAUUGGAACUGAGACACGGUCCAAACUCCUACGGGAGGCAGCAGUGAGGAAUAUUGGUCAAUGGACGAGAGUCUGAGCCAGCCAAGUAGCGUGAAGGAUGAAGGUUCUAUGGAUUGUAAACUUCUUUUAUACGGGAAUAAACGAAUCCACGUGUGGAUUUUUGCAUGUACCGUAUGAAUAAGGAUCGGCUAACUCCGUGCCAGCAGCCGCGGUAAUACGGAGGAUCCGAGCGUUAUCCGGAUUUAUUGGGUUUAAAGGGAGCGUAGAUGGGUUGUUAAGUCAGUUGUGAAAGUUUGCGGCUCAACCGUAAAAUUGCAAUUGAUACUGGCAGUCUUGAGUACAGUUGAGGUAGGCGGAAUUCGUGGUGUAGGGGUGAAAUGCUUAGAUAUCACGAAGAACUCCGAUUGCGAAGGCAGCUUACUAACCUGUAACUGACAUUGAUGCUCGAAAGUGUGGGUAUCAAACAGGAUUAGAUACCCUGGUAGUCCACACGGUAAACGAUGAAUACUCGCUGUAGGCGAUAUACAGUCUGCGGCCAAGAGAAAGCAUUAAGUAUUCCACCUGGGGAGUACGCCGGCAACGGUGAAACUCAAAGGAAUUGACGGGGGCCCGCACAAGCGGAGGAACAUGUGGUUUAAUUCGAUGAUACGCGAGGAACCUUACCCGGGCUUAAAUUGCAACCGAAUAUGGCGGAAACGCUAUAGCUAGCAAUAGCGGUUGUGAAGGUGCUGCAUGGUUGUCGUCAGCUCGUGCCGUGAGGUGUCGGCUUAAGUGCCAUAACGAGCGCAACCCUUGCCGAUAGUUACUAACAGGUCAUGCUGAGGACUCUGUCGGGACUGCCAUCGUAAGAUGUGAGGAAGGUGGGGAUGACGUCAAAUCAGCACGGCCCUUACGUCCGGGGCUACACACGUGUUACAAUGGGGGGUACGGAGGGCUGCUACCACGCAAGUGGAUGCCAAUCCCAAAAACCUCUCUCAGUUCGGAUUGAAGUCUGCAACCCGACUUCAUGAAGCUGGAUUCGCUAGUAAUCGCGCAUCAGCCACGGCGCGGUGAAUACGUUCCCGGGCCUUGUACACACCGCCCGUCAAGCCAUGGGAGCCGGGGGUACCUGAAGUGCGUAACCGCAAGGAGCGCCCUAGGGUAAAACUGGUGACUGGGGC